Molecule: long non-coding RNA, 362 nt
Organism: Stomoxys calcitrans (stable fly)
Lineage: Eukaryota; Metazoa; Arthropoda; Insecta; Diptera; Muscidae
Exons: 2
Source: RefSeq, a predicted model, not a curated record
GAUUUCUUCGUACACUUUUUCAGUGUCUGUGUUAUCCAUUCAAGUAUUUGUGUGUAUAGCAAGAGAAGAAAGAAAGAAAGAAAAAAACAUCUUAGAAUACUCAUCCGGCGAAAUUGGCAAUUUAUAGAUAUCGACAAGUUUGCGGCACAUAUCCAUAUGUACGACGCCCAUAAGGGACAAUUUGACUUCGAAAGUAUAUUUCGGGCCACCAAAUUUAUCCAAGAUGCGUUGUGUGGCCUCAGUGUACAAUUUUUCGGUGUCUGUGUUUAUAUAAAAAGAAUAUGGAAAAAAAUAAAAUUGAAUUUUCGCUUUAUUCCAGGACCUAGGUUGAGUUCUAUUUCCGGGGAUUAAAGCAAAAUAUA